GGGCACGACACCGGAGAGGGAGCCUGAGAAACGGCUACCACAUCCAAGGAUGGCAGCAGGCGCGCAAAUUACCCAAUCCCGACACGGGGAGGUAGUGACAAUAAAUAACAAUACGGGGUUCUUUAGGAUCUCGUAAUUGGAAUGAGUACAAUUUAAAUCUCUUAACGAGGAACAAUUGGAGGGCAAGUCUGGUGCCAGCAGCCGCGGUAAUUCCAGCUCCAAUAGCGUAUAUUAAAGUUGUUGCAGUUAAAAAGCUCGUAGUUGAAUUUCGGGGUUAGUAGGUUGGUCAUGCCUCUGGUAUGUACUGGUCUCACUGAUUCCUCCUUCCUUAUGAACCGUAAUGCCAUUAAUUUGGUGUUGCGGGGAAUUUGGACUGUUACUUUGAAAAAAUUAGAGUGUUUAAAGCAAGCUAACGCUUGAAUACAUUAGCAUGGAAUAAUGAAAUAGGACGUUCGAUCUUAUUUUGUUGGUUUCUAGGAUUGACGUAAUGAUUAAUAGGGAUAGUUGGGGGCAUUAGUAUUCAAUUGUCAGAGGUGAAAUUCUUGGAUUUAUUGAAGACUAACUACUGCGAAAGCAUUUGCCAAGGAUGUUUUCAUUAAUCAAGAACGAAAGUUAGGGGAUCGAAGACGAUCAGAUACCGUCGUAGUCUUAACCAUAAACUAUGCCGACUAGGGAUCGGAUGAUGUUAAUUUUUUAAUGACUCAUUCGGCGCCUUACGGGAAACCAAA
This 728-nucleotide ribosomal RNA is filed under the name uncultured Glomeromycotina. RNAcentral's name for it is "SSU rRNA". It matches the Rfam family "Eukaryotic small subunit ribosomal RNA", at positions 373 to 1102 of the family's 1831-position model. Lineage: Eukaryota; Fungi; Glomeromycota. The record is from RNAcentral.